RNAcentral lists this ribosomal RNA (711 nucleotides) under uncultured bacterium. RNAcentral describes it as "bacterial SSU rRNA". It matches the Rfam family "Bacterial small subunit ribosomal RNA", at positions 67 to 773 of the family's 1533-position model. The record is from RNAcentral.
CGGCAGCACGGAGCUUGCUCUGGUGGCGAGUGGCGAACGGGUGAGUAAUAUAUCGGAACGUACCCUGGAGUGGGGGAUAACGUAGCGAAAGUUACGCUAAUACCGCAUACGAUCUAAGGAUGAAAGUGGGGGAUCGCAAGACCCCAUGCUCGUGGAGCGGCCGAUAUCUGAUUAGCUAGUUGGUAGGGUAAAAGCCUACCAAGGCAUCGAUCAGUAGCUGGUCUGAGAGGACGACCAGCCACACUGGAACUGAGACACGGUCCAGACUCCUACGGGAGGCAGCAGUGGGGAAUUUUGGACAAUGGGCGAAAGCCUGAUCCAGCAAUGCCGCGUGAGUGAAGAAGGCCUUCGGGUUGUAAAGCUCUUUUGUCAGGGAAGAAACGGUGAAAGCUAAUAUCUUUUGCUAAUGACGGUACCUGAAGAAUAAGCACCGGCUAACUACGUGCCAGCAGCCGCGGUAAUACGUAGGGUGCAAGCGUUAAUCGGAAUUACUGGGCGUAAAGCGUGCGCAGGCGGUUUUGUAAGUCUGAUGUGAAAUCCCCGGGCUCAACCUGGGAAUUGCAUUGGAGACUGCAAGGCUAGAAUCUGGCAGAGGGGGGUAGAAUUCCACGUGUAGCAGUGAAAUGCGUAGAUAUGUGGAGGAACACCGAUGGCGAAGGCAGCCCCCUGGGUCAAGAUUGACGCUCAUGCACGAAAGCGUGGGGAGCAAAC